RNAcentral lists this long non-coding RNA (1216 nucleotides) under Homo sapiens (human). Its description in RNAcentral is "long intergenic non-protein coding RNA 2669". The record is from RNAcentral. Lineage: Eukaryota; Metazoa; Chordata; Mammalia; Primates; Hominidae.
GGGGGAUUCACUGUUAUACUUGGAGGCCAUGUCACCUGAGAGUCAAUGGGCAACGAUCAAAUUUCACCUUGAGCAGAUUCUUUUGUUUGCUUUUUAGUCACAAAUAGCUUGGCCCUAAGUGGUGGCUCCCAUUCUUGUAAGAUGCGUUUAUUCAUCGUGUAAUCACCAGUUCCCUGUAGUGGGGGCGUGGAUGGAGUGUCAGAGGCUCCUGCUGGUCUUUAGGGUGUCUGGCCUCCAGGAAUCCUAGAGUAAAUUGGGAACUACAGCACUCGAUGUUAGAGUUGUCGUGAAGAUUAAAGAAGGUGACGACUGGACAACUCCCAGCCCAAUACCUGAAACUGUACCAGCACCCAGUGAGCACUGCUAUUCCUGUGACUGCUGCACAUUUGCCUUAUCUCAGCAGUAUGCCUGUGUCACUUUUUUGGCACUCUUUUCUCAUGGGUACAUUCAGAGAAGAGGAAUGUUUGUUCACUGGUGAAGAGAACAUCCCGUGUACUAUCGUGUAGAAGUUGUAGUAGACGCUGUGGUCUUUCCAACAACAAACAAAAAAAAGGAAAAAAAAAGUGAAUUUCUUGCCCAGAUCUGCAACAACUUCUAAGAUCUGACCUGUAGCCACCCACACCUGGAAGCUCCAGCCUUGCCUCUCCCCAGUUCACCCAGUAAGCGCUGGACACGGGGCUGAGCUGGGACUUCGAUGCUUACUCUGCCUGGAAACCUCCUUUCUCUCUCCCCACUUCUGAGGCUCCGCUCAGGGCUGAGAGCUCCAAGGAGCUGUGAAUCACACCUCCGACUCCCCCCAGGGUACAGGAACGGGGUUCAGAAUGCUCUUCCCAAAGCUGCUGGGACAGGACCCAGGAGGUUCCGGAGGAUCAGGAGGUCCACCUGGGAGAAGAGCUGAUCGGCUAGUAGGAGAGCUGGAAAAGCAACAGACACCUACUUAGUCCCUUCCCUGGGGCCCGGCUCCAGUCUGAGCUGUCACGCCACAGCAAAGGCAUCACUUCAGGACAGCAAAGCCCCUGUCUCCCUCCCUUCCAGCUCCUCAGACUUCACCCUGGUAACACGUUUGUUUAAAAAACAUAUUUUUCCCCCUUGUAAAGAAUCUAGGAUACAAGGGGUCAGCCCAGCAGUUUAGGUAUCAAGAAGAAACUGCUCUCGGAGCUAAAGUAAGAAACAGUGCCUGUCUAUAGCGCAAAUAAAGAGUUGGAACAAGAUAAAA